Molecule: ribosomal RNA, 433 nt
Filed under: uncultured bacterium
Lineage: Bacteria
Description: partial 16S ribosomal RNA
Rfam family: Bacterial small subunit ribosomal RNA
Source: RNAcentral
AACGAACGCUGGCGGCAUGCCUAACACAUGCAAGUCGAACGAGCCCUUCGGGUCUAUUGGCGCACGGGUGUGUAACGCGUGGGAACCUUCCCUUAGGUUCGGAAUAACUCCCCGAAAGGGGUGCUAAUACCGGAUCAUGUCUUCGGACCAAAGAUUUAUCGCCUUUGGAUGGGCCCGCGUUGGAUUAGCUAGUUGGUAGGGUAAAAGCCUACCACGGCGACGAUCCAUAGCUGGUCUGAGAGGCUGCUCAGCGACACUGAGACUGAGACACGGCCCAGACUCCUCCGCGAGGGAGGAGUGGGGAAUAGUGGACAAUGGGCGAAAGGCUGAUCCAGCACUGCCGCGUGAGUGAUGAAGGCCUGAGGGUUGUAAAGCUCUUUUACCCGGGAUGAUAAUGACAGUACCGGGAGAAUAAGCUCCGGAUAAAUCCGUG